This 516-nucleotide ribosomal RNA is filed under the name Aspergillus amstelodami. RNAcentral describes it as "eukaryotic LSU rRNA". The stretch from base 150 to 303 matches the Rfam family "5.8S ribosomal RNA". Lineage: Eukaryota; Fungi; Ascomycota; Eurotiomycetes; Eurotiales; Aspergillaceae. The record is from RNAcentral.
UCAUUACCGAGUGCGGGCCCUCUGGGUCCAACCUCCCAUCCGUGUCUAUCUGUACCCUGUUGCUUCGGCGUGGCCACGGCCCGCCGGAGACUAACAUUUGAACGCUGUCUGAAGUUUGCAGUCUGAGUUUUUAGUUAAACAAUCGUUAAAACUUUCAACAACGGAUCUCUUGGUUCCGGCAUCGAUGAAGAACGCAGCGAAAUGCGAUAAUUAAUGUGAAUUGCAGAAUUCAGUGAAUCAUCGAGUCUUUGAACGCACAUUGCGCCCCCUGGUAUUCCGGGGGGCAUGCCUGUCCGAGCGUCAUUGCUGCCCUCAAGCACGGCUUGUGUGUUGGGCUUCCGUCCCUGGCAACGGGGACGGGCCCAAAAGGCAGUGGCGGCACCAUGUCUGGUCCUCGAGCGUAUGGGGCUUUGUCACCCGCUCCCGUAGGUCCAGCUGGCAGCUAGCCUCGCAACCAAUCUUUUUAACCAGGUUGACCUCGGAUCAGGUAGGGAUACCCGCUGAACUUAAGCAUAU